GAGUUGGGGGAGAGGACCAGAACCACCUGCUGGAGAAGGGGAGCUACGGGGGCCGGGCAGGGUCCAAACGCCUCACGUAGGCGGCGGCGCCACGGUCUUCGGGGUCACAGGGAAGAGAAGGGCUCUCCUCAAGCGGGUGGAAGGAGGGAGGCCUCCCGAGGGAGUGAGACUCUAGGCCACUCCCCCGCAGCAAGGCAGGAUCACCUGCGACGCGGAGAGCGGUUAGAGGGCCCUGGAGUGGAAAAGGGCAGUGGGACCUGGUAGCUUGGGUUCCCUGCAACUUGGGGUUCGACCUCCAGGCAAUGAAGUAGGGAUGGUCCUGCAAGUCAAGAUUCCAGUAGCAAGAGUGCAUCAGAUCUCUGUAAGGAAAAUAACUAACAUUGCUCAGUUCCCUGUAGAGUUGCAGGGCGCUUUAACGUUAUCUCCCUUGGUUCUCCAUCAGGUCGUAGUGGACUAAUUUUACAGGCGAAGUUAAGUGACUUACCCAAAACCUCACAGCUAAUAAACGGCAGAGCCGGCACCCAGCUGUACUGGCUUCCAAUUCUGUUAGCUUACCAGCGCAUCACAUUAUCUCCAUAAAUCCCCAUGAUUCAACUAAUAUUAGACGCCCCACAGGUAAGAUGCUUCAGAGUUAGAGGGGAGUUGAAGAUACCUUUGCCUUCAAAGAAGUAAGGAAUAAAACAAAGAUAAAACAGACAAUAAAAGACAAACCAUGAUAGGUGCCACGUGAAAAGUGGCAGAGUACUGCCGGGAAUCAAAGAACCGUGUAUAUCUGUCUUGGGGAUAAGGAAAGAAAGGCAGCAUGAAGGAGUAGGCAUUUGGGAUUGACCUUGAAGGAGACAGGGAGAGUUUUACAGCAAGCAGGGAUAGCAUGAGAAUAUAUAUGAAGGCGAAUCAGUGAAAGUUGUGUUGGGGAAAGAGCAAAGACUCCAGGGUAUGUUGAGAGGUAGAAAAGACAAAGGAGUAUGGGGCCUAAGAUACCAAAUGGAUGAAUUUAUAUUUAAUUCAGUAUUUUGAGUUUUUAUGGUUCAGAAGUUUGGGGGAAGAAAAGGAAGGUUUUUUUUUUUCUUUGUGCUAGUGAUUUAUCUGUGAGGGGAAGCAGAAAUCAGAGGUGGAAAAACGGACAGAUCUACUGUAGGCCAGGUAAAAAUGAUGAGUCUGACCUAAAGGGACAGCUAGGGGAAUUUAAAAGAGCAUAGUUGAGAGAUGAUGUGCAUGCAGUAUCUAUAGAAUUUGGCAACUGAUUGAUUAAUUGUGGGUAGGAAGAGAGAAAUCAAAGAAAGUGGAGGUUUUGAGUUUGUAGAUAAUUGCAAGAGAGAAAAGAGACAAUUACAAAGGAGAGGGAGCUACUUCUUGAGAGAUCAGUUUAGAUUUGGACAUUUUAAGAAUUCAAAGGGUUGUCAAGACAGCCAGAGAGACAUGGACACUAAUAAGUUAGAAAUAAAGGUUUUGUAAUAUGGGAAAGAGGACUGAACUAGAAAAUAGACUCAUAAAUAAUCAGCCUAGGAGUGAUAUUGCUGUGAGAUAAAAGAAGAAAACAAAGGUCAGAAUCUUGGAAAACACCCUCUUUAGAGUCUCGCUACUCAAAACGUGGUCAGUGGCCCAGCAGCACUGACAUGAGGAUGUUAGUUAGAAACUCAGAAUCUCAGGCUCCACCCCAGACCUGCUGAACCAGCAUCUUCAACUUAACAAGAACCCGAAGAGAUUUGUGUCACAUCAAAAAGUUUGAGAAGCUCUGAUCUAGGUGAGCCAAGCCAGCAAAGAAAGGGGAUGGAGCAGAAAAUGGGAGGAGAAUAGGGUAACGCAGAAUCAUCAAGACAAGGUAAAUUGGAGUUUCACAAAAACAGGGCUGGAAGGAGUGUUGCUCAACAAUAUCCAAAACCACAGAGGUUGAAAAGCACAAGGAAAGAAGCUGGACCCUGGACACGGUGACUCUGAUUCAAUUAUGCAGAUGACCACAAACCUCUGGGGUUGGCAGAGCCACAAGAAAGAAGGUGCCUGGAUGAAGGAGAGCUACCCACUGACCUGGACACCCAAUUAUAGGAUAGACAGUGAAGUGCAACUACAGCCCGCAAAUGAAAAUGAAUAAUAUUAAUCCAGCCCCUCAAGGCAGGCGAGUAGCUGCUGUCAUCUGUCUUAGAGCUAUUGGAAUCCUGGAUCAUUGUGGGAAAUGAAAGGAACUGGUUUUUAGCAAGGAGACCAAGAAACUCUACUCCCUAGGGGCUAGCAAUGAGAGAAAGGAAGCCUUAAGUCUUUGAGCACAGGGUGACAGUUUGGGUCCUAUGUGAGAUGAUCAAAUCCACAGCAACAGAGGAAAGGACAAAAGGAAAAGAUACUUCGAUGGAAUCAGCAGCCAUUGAUCCAAUGCCAACUCCAAGACUGGAACGUCGCAAUGAUAGUUCCAAGGCGGAAAUUUGACGUAAUUCUUUUCGACACAGUUUUACAGGCAUCUUGCAUGUGAAUAACUCACAACUUUAAUUCAUGGAACAAAUUGAGAAAUAGUCUUUUGGGGGUUUGGUACUCCCUGGAAACAUAAGAGUGCUUUGGGCACCUCUGGUGCCUUUCCAUGCCUGCCUUCUCUGCUGUUCUUGCUACUAGUGAAUUCUAAAUCAUGGCCAAGUGAUGCCAGCACUGGAUAAUAUUGGCUCUGCCCCAUAUCUCGAGGGAAAACUCUAGGACUUGGCAUUAUAUGUGUGGGAAUCUGGCCUUGGUUGGCACUCCCAGCAUGAUAGCGGGGUUCUCCUGUCUGAAUGUACUCUGGGGUGUGCGCCACAAUUUCUGUCAUCGAAAUGGAGAUGAGAGAAUAUGCCCUUGGUGGGGACACCCCACUGGAAUUAGAGUGAAGAGAUCAAAGCUAGAGGUUCUUAAAUCAAAGAAUAUCUAAUAGCAAAGACAAAAACUUGCUUAAGGGAAAUGCAUACAAGUACUAGACCUAAUAUGAUGAAAAAUGCCAACUUCAAUAUAUUGAUGCAUGCUUAGUACACUUUCAGUCCUGCAAAGACAAAGUUUUUUGUUGUUUUUUUUUUGAGACGGAGUCUCGCUCUGUCGCCCAGGUUGGAGUGC
RNAcentral lists this long non-coding RNA (3063 nucleotides) under Homo sapiens (human). RNAcentral's name for it is "HSALNT0353118". Lineage: Eukaryota; Metazoa; Chordata; Mammalia; Primates; Hominidae. The record is from RNAcentral.